AUCCUUUCCUGCAGCUAGGACGUGAAACUGUGAAGAGGAUAAACGACAAGGAAACACGCUUAUGUAUCAAGACAAAAGCGCUUAAAGAAAAAGCUCCAAGCAUCAAUCACCAUGGUAUCACGUUUGGAAAUACCGGCAUCAUCGCGUUGGCAUCGGAGGAAAACCGCGUACAUCGCAAAUCGGCUUCCAAUCUUUAUCAUCCUCGGGUUCGAUACAGGUCGAAGCGAGAAAAAACAGAGAAAUUGAAAAGAAAAAAUUCUUAUCGAUACAUACCGGAGAGCAAUCGAGAUCCUUGAUUUCAUGUUUUCCAAUCAAUGCGGAUGGUAAUCGCUUCUUAAAUCGAUCCGUGUUGGGAUCGCCAUAACUCGUAAAAUCAAUACCAACUUCAAAGGUUGAAGGUUCACAUUGCAGAAGGAAGAAAGCUCGGGUUGGAGAAUGAAGAAGAAUCUAUUGGUGCAGAACCAAGAGGAAGCUCUUGGUGCAGAAUCCUGAAGAUGAAGCUUCUGCAGAAGAAAUUCUUGGUAUAGCGUGAAGAAGAAUGUAGAGUCUGGGAGUGAAAAAUGAAGUCCCCCAGGUUGAAGGAGAUGAUGGAUCAAAAUGCAGAAAAACGAAAAAAACUCCCUCCAACUUAUUAAGUUCAACUACAUGCAGGUCGUGGUAAUGGAUAGCUUGGUGUGAUGAAUGGAAAAUUUGGCAUGCUAUUUGAUUUGUCAUAAGUGUUGUACAUGUGUGAUUCAAGGUGUUGGUGGUUUAAUGCAAGUAUGGACUGCAGAGCAAGGCAUGGCUUUACAAUUUGCACUUUUUUUGCUUUAAUUUGGGAUGGCUUGCUGCUAAGUUGUCGAUUUUGUUGUCGUGUCCUACUGCUUAGGGUUGCGGUCUACGACAUGGCAGGUUGUUUAGAUAUCAUUGGUGGAAAGCACCGAGAGAAAGUCAUGCUGUAAUGUAGAAGAUUGAAGUGUAAAUCAAGUUGAAAUUGUAUUGAAUUAUUAUAUGAAUUGAAAGGUUCGUUUUAUGAAUAAAGAAACAUUAAGUGUUAA
Long non-coding RNA from Lathyrus oleraceus (garden pea), 1037 nucleotides. RefSeq lists it as uncharacterized. The record is from RefSeq and is a predicted model, not a curated record. The transcript has 4 exons. Lineage: Eukaryota; Viridiplantae; Streptophyta; Magnoliopsida; Fabales; Fabaceae.